AGUCGAGGGGCAGCAUUUCAGUUUGCUUGCAAGCUGGAGAUGGCGACCGGCGCACGGGUGAGUAACACGUAUCCAACCUGCCGAUAACUCGGGGAUAGCCUUUCGAAAGAAAGAUUAAUACCCGAUGGUAUAAUCAGACCGCAUGGUCUUGUUAUUAAAGAAUUUCGGUUAUCGAUGGGGAUGCGUUCCAUUAGGCAGUUGGUGAGGUAACGGCUCACCAAACCUUCGAUGGAUAGGGGUUCUGAGAGGAAGGUCCCCCACAUUGGAACUGAGACACGGUCCAAACUCCUACGGGAGGCAGCAGUGAGGAAUAUUGGUCAAUGGGCGCAGGCCUGAACCAGCCAAGUAGCGUGAAGGAUGACUGCCCUAUGGGUUGUAAACUUCUUUUAUAUGGGAAUAAAGUUUUCCACGUGUGGAAUUUUGUAUGUACCAUAUGAAUAAGGAUCGGCUAACUCCGUGCCAGCAGCCGCGGUAAUACGGAGGAUCCGAGCGUUAUCCGGAUUUAUUGGGUUUAAAGGGAGCGUAGGUGGACAGUUAAGUCAGUUGUGAAAGUUUGCGGCUCAACCGUAAAAUUGCAGUUGAUACUGGCUGUCUUGAGUACAGUAGAGGUGGGCGGAAUUCGUGGUGUAACGGUGAAAUGCUUAGAUAUCACGAASAACUCCGAUUGCGAAGGCAGCUCACUGGACUGCAACUGACACUGAUGCUCGAAAGUGUGGGUAUCAAACAGGAUUAGAUACCCUGGUAGUCCACACAGUAAACGAUGAAUACUCGCUGUUUGCGAUAUACAGUAAGCGGCCAAGCGAAAGCAU
This 809-nucleotide ribosomal RNA is filed under the name bacterium IARFR185. RNAcentral describes it as "bacterial SSU rRNA". It matches the Rfam family "Bacterial small subunit ribosomal RNA", at positions 60 to 860 of the family's 1533-position model. The record is from RNAcentral.